UCCGAUAUGGUCUAGUGGCUAGGAUUUGCCGCUCUCAUCAAGAGCAGAACGCUUUGGCGCCGGCAAGGCCCGGGUUCGAUUCCCGGUGUCGGAA
Molecule: transfer RNA, 94 nt
Filed under: Kalmusia sp. IMI 367209
Lineage: Eukaryota; Fungi; Ascomycota; Dothideomycetes; Pleosporales; Didymosphaeriaceae
Description: tRNA-Glu
Rfam family: tRNA
About the family: Transfer RNA (tRNA) molecules are approximately 80 nucleotides in length. Their secondary structure includes four short double-helical elements and three loops (D, anti-codon, and T loops).
Source: RNAcentral